UACGGAGGGAGCUAGCGUUAUUCGGAAUUACUGGGCGUAAAGCGUACGUAGGCGGCUUUGCAAGUUAGAGGUGAAAGCCUGGAGCUCAACUCCAGAACUGCCUUUAAAACUGCAUCGCUUGAAUCCAGGAGAGGUGAGUGGAAUUCCGAGUGUAGAGGUGAAAUUCGUAGAUAUUCGCAAGAACACCAGUGGCGAAGGCGGCUCACUGGCCCGAUACUGACGCUGAGGCACGAAAGCGUGGGGGAGCAAACAGGG
Molecule: ribosomal RNA, 255 nt
Filed under: uncultured bacterium
Lineage: Bacteria
Description: partial 16S ribosomal RNA
Rfam family: Bacterial small subunit ribosomal RNA
Source: RNAcentral